UGGGGAAUAUUGGACAAUGGGGGCAACCCUGAUCCAGCCAUGCCGCGUGAGUGAUGAAGGCCUUAGGGUUGUAAAGCUCUUUCGUCAGGGAAGAUAAUGACGGUACCUGAAGAAGAAGCCCCGGCUAACUUCGUGCCAGCAGCCGCGGUAAUACGAAGGGGGCUAGCGUUGUUCGGAAUUACUGGGCGUAAAGCGCACGUAGGCGGACUUGUCAGUCAGGGGUGGAAUCCCGAGGCUUAACCUCGGAACUGCCUUUGAUACUGCAAGUCUUGAGGAUGAGAGAGGUGAGUGGAACUGCGAGUGUAGAGGUGAAAUUCGUAGAUAUUCGCAAGAACACCAGUGGCGAAGGCGGCUCACUGGCUCAUUUUUGACGCUGAGGUGCGAAAGCGUGGGGAGCAAAC
Molecule: ribosomal RNA, 401 nt
Filed under: uncultured bacterium
Lineage: Bacteria
Description: bacterial SSU rRNA
Rfam family: Bacterial small subunit ribosomal RNA
Source: RNAcentral